Non-coding RNA from Galeopterus variegatus (Sunda flying lemur), 74 nucleotides. The record is from the annotation of a RefSeq genome assembly. Lineage: Eukaryota; Metazoa; Chordata; Mammalia; Dermoptera; Cynocephalidae.
GGCCAGUUAGCUCAGUUGGUUAGAGUGAGGUGCUAAUAACACCGAGGUCCAGGGUUCAAUUCCUGUACUGGCCA